This 1225-nucleotide ribosomal RNA is filed under the name uncultured Halomonas sp. RNAcentral describes it as "bacterial SSU rRNA". It matches the Rfam family "Bacterial small subunit ribosomal RNA", at positions 173 to 1399 of the family's 1533-position model. The record is from RNAcentral. Lineage: Bacteria; Pseudomonadati; Pseudomonadota; Gammaproteobacteria; Oceanospirillales; Halomonadaceae.
AUACGUCCUACGGGAGAAAGGGGGCUUCGGCUCCCGCUAUUGGAUGAGCCUAUGUCGGAUUAGCUAGUUGGUGAGGUAAAGGCUCACCAAGGCAACGAUCCGUAGCUGGUCUGAGAGGAUGAUCAGCCACAUCGGGACUGAGACACGGCCCGAACUCCUACGGGAGGCAGCAGUGGGGAAUAUUGGACAAUGGGGGCAACCCUGAUCCAGCCAUGCCGCGUGUGUGAAGAAGGCCCUCGGGUUGUAAAGCACUUUCAGCGAGGAAGAACGCCUAGCGGUUAAUACCCGUUAGGAAAGACAUCACUCGCAGAAGAAGCACCGGCUAACUCCGCGCCAGCAGCCGCGGUAAUACGGAGGGUGCAAGCGUUAAUCGGAAUUACUGGGCGUAAAGCGCGCGUAGGUGGCUUGAUAAGCCGGUUGUGAAAGCCCCGGGCUCAACCUGGGAACGGCAUCCGGAACUGUCAGGCUAGAGUGCAGGAGAGGAAGGUAGAAUUCCCGGUGUAGCGGUGAAAUGCGUAGAGAUCGGGAGGAAUACCAGUGGCGAAGGCGGCCUUCUGGACUGACACUGACACUGAGGUGCGAAAGCGUGGGUAGCAAACAGGAUUAGAUACCCUGGUAGUCCACGCCGUAAACGAUGUCGACCAGCCGUUGGGUGCCUAGAGCACUUUGUGGCGAAGUUAACGCGAUAAGUCGACCGCCUGGGGAGUACGGCCGCAAGGUUAAAACUCAAAUGAAUUGACGGGGGCCCGCACAAGCGGUGGAGCAUGUGGUUUAAUUCGAUGCAACGCGAAGAACCUUACCUGCCCUUGACAUCUACAGAAGCCGGAAGAGAUUCUGGUGUGCCUUCGGGAACUGUAAGACAGGUGCUGCAUGGCUGUCGUCAGCUCGUGUUGUGAAAUGUUGGGUUAAGUCCCGUAACGAGCGCAACCCUUGUCCUUAUUUGCCAGCACGUAAUGGUGGGAACUCUAAGGAGACUGCCGGUGACAAACCGGAGGAAGGUGGGGACGACGUCAAGUCAUCAUGGCCCUUACGGGUAGGGCUACACACGUGCUACAAUGGCCGGUACAAAGGGCUGCGAGCUCGCGAGAGUCAGCGAAUCCCUUAAAGCCGGUCUCAGUCCGGAUCGGAGUCUGCAACUCGACUCCGUGAAGUCGGAAUCGCUAGUAAUCGUGAAUCAGAAUGUCACGGUGAAUACGUUCCCGGGCCUUGUACACACCGCCCGUCA